AGGAAAAUGACAAAAGGUUAGGACUUAAAUUAGGACUCAAGCAAAUUAAACAGACGAAGAUGGGGAUAUGGAAAAGAAGUUGGGAAAAAGCUUUUCUUUCCAGAGGUGGACAAGAAAUUAGCACCUUUCUAGCAGCCAAUAAAAGGUUGAAGGGCAUGAGAUAUAUGCUUGCUAAUACACUUUCUAUGAUGGGAAAAAGGUGUUACAGGAACAUGGGAAAAUGUGAUCUGGUUAGUGACAGAGAAGAAGUGGUUGUUUCUUUCGAUUUUUGUUUUCAAAUUCCAUUUUGCAGCUCUGUAUAUGCCUACUUGUUUUCUUUUUGUUAGAUCCGUCUUUUCUUAAUUCAGAAUUAUUGUUGGUGAUCCAUGGCCAUAGAUGAUCAACCUAUCCUGUUGUUGUCAGCUUAUAGGCCAUUCUUAUCUAAAUCUACUGAGAUUCUAGCAAGGCACAUGUAUUAUGAUCAGUGUAGAAUGGCAUGUUUUGUUAGGCACGUAAAGUUUAUAGGAAGACUCGACAUUAGAAAUAAUUAAGAUUAC
RNAcentral lists this long non-coding RNA (536 nucleotides) under Theobroma cacao (cacao). RNAcentral describes it as "long non-coding RNA (TCAC_LNC000557)". The record is from RNAcentral. Lineage: Eukaryota; Viridiplantae; Streptophyta; Magnoliopsida; Malvales; Malvaceae.